RNAcentral lists this ribosomal RNA (305 nucleotides) under uncultured bacterium. RNAcentral describes it as "bacterial SSU rRNA". It matches the Rfam family "Bacterial small subunit ribosomal RNA", at positions 338 to 660 of the family's 1533-position model. The record is from RNAcentral.
CUUACGGGAGGCAGCAGUGGGGAAUAUUGCACAAUGGGGGAAACCCUGAUGCAGCGACGCCGCGUGAGCGAUGAAGUAUUUCGGUAUGUAAAGCUCUAUCAGCAGGGAAGAAAAUGACGGUACCUGACUAAGAAGCCCCGGCUAACUACGUGCCAGCAGCCGCGGUAAUACGUAGGGGGCAAGCGUUAUCCGGAUUUACCGGGUGUAAAGGGAGCGUAGACGGCCGUUCAAGCCAGAUGUGAAAGCCCGGGGCUCAACCCCGGGACUGCAUUUGGAACUGUGCGGCUAGCGUGUCGGAGAGGCAG